CUGCUGCCUCCCGUAGGAGUCUGGGCCGUAUCUCAGUCCCAAUGUGGCCGGCCAACCUCUCAGUCCGGCUACUGAUCGUCGCCUUGGUGGGCCGUUACCCCACCAACUAGCUAAUCAGACGCGAGGCCAUCUUUCGGCGAUAAAUCUUUGACAUUCAGACCAUGCGGCCCAAAUGUAUCAUGCGGUAUUAGCAGUCGUUUCCAACUGUUCGUCCCCCUCGAAAGGCAGGUUCCUCACGCGUUACUCACCAGUCCCG
Molecule: ribosomal RNA, 256 nt
Filed under: uncultured bacterium
Lineage: Bacteria
Description: partial 16S ribosomal RNA
Source: RNAcentral